UUUGUUUUCAGUAUGGCAGGAGGUGGAAAUUGAGUGUUUAUUCAAUUUGUUCUUCAGAAGUUUAUCAAUAUCAGAUGCUCUUUGUUCACUUAAUUCACUACCACGAUCUUUAUCUUCAAUUGUGCUAAAGGAUUCCGGUUUAUUUCAUGGAAUACAAAUCCGUUUGAUCUUUGCCAUAGUCACCGGACUCUAGCAUCCAAUCGUCUACGUAGUCGUAGAAAAAAGUAAAUGUUGUGGAAUUUAACGCUUUAUUGCAUCACAUCCGACUAAAAAAAUGACCAGGGAAACAGAAGGCUGACAGACAUAUUCAUAGAAAAUAUGAAAAAGCCCUGCCUGUUGCCGUGUUGGAACUUGUAUUGACCUGUAUGAGCAUCAUACUGUGCAAAUCACCUAAAGAUGGAGUUGACCAAGUUGCUGACUUUGAGGAGAACUUGAAGAGCAGAAGAUGCAUUCCAUGACUCUUAUGUGAUAUAGAAGACAAAGAAGAGCUCUUGAGAAUGGGGAAAAAAACUGCGAGUUUUACAGUCAAUGAACACACCUCACGAUACAAGUCCAUCCUGAUUCAGUAAACUAUUCUUCUAAGGAAACACCAUGACUUAGUUAAGAUCAAGUUUUGGUGUCAGAAGACUAAUGUAACUAAAACAUUGCAAAAUUAACCUGCAAGUGUCUUAUGUGAGCCUACUGAAUAAGGAUUCAUUACUGAACAGUUGAAGGAAAAUCACUAUUAUAAUGAUUUUUAAAAAAAAGAUGAUUGUGUUGUUUGGAUAACAUUGUGAUCCAUGUUUGUUGAAUAAACCAACUUUGCAAAAAUGAGUUGUUCUGUGUUAAUAUUAUAAAUUUACUAAUUACUGGUAUGUCAACAUAAAUUACAGUAACACUCAACAAACUUCAAUAAAUUUUAAAGUUUCAUGCAGUUUCUGCAGUAGAAAAUGACACCUAUUGAUUUUCUGGUCCAAAGGUCACCAGGUGCAAUACAAUACUCUGUACAAUUGAUGUCUGACCAGUUUCUUCAGAACCCUUUGAUUGAUAGUGAUAUUUCAUACAGGGGUUGGUCACUGGUAGUAUAUGACCCCCAUUGAUUUUCAGGUCAAAAGAUUAAAAAUGGCAGGGGGCUCCAUGGCCGAGUGGUUGGAGCAUAGCGUUCAAAAUGACACGGCCUCAGUCGGCACGGGUUCGAAUCCCGCUCGCGCUGGUAUUAAGUGAGAAAGUUUCCCAAUUUACUUUCGGAAGGUCGGUGGUCUCUUCCCAGGUACAUUGUAUCUGGGUUCUCACUUUCACCAAUAAACACUGGGCACCACCAGAAAACUGAAAAAUUGUUGAGUGUGGCGGAAAAUAUCAAUAAAUCAAUCAAUUAAAAAUGACUAGGUGCAAUGUAGCUAGUACUCUCUGCAAUG
Ostrea edulis (European flat oyster) is the source of this 1394-nucleotide long non-coding RNA. RefSeq lists it as uncharacterized. The transcript is spliced from 3 exons. The record is from RefSeq and is a predicted model, not a curated record. Lineage: Eukaryota; Metazoa; Mollusca; Bivalvia; Ostreida; Ostreidae.